RNAcentral lists this ribosomal RNA (466 nucleotides) under uncultured bacterium. RNAcentral describes it as "partial 16S ribosomal RNA". It matches the Rfam family "Bacterial small subunit ribosomal RNA", at positions 28 to 507 of the family's 1533-position model. The record is from RNAcentral.
GAUGAACGCUGGCGGCGUGCUUAACACAUGCAAGUCGAACGAUGAAGCCCAGCUUGCUGGGUGGAUUAGUGGCGAACGGGUGAGUAACACGUGAGUAACCUGCCCUUAACUCUGGGAUAAGCCUGGGAAACUGGGUCUAAUACCGGAUAGGAGCGCCUACCGCAUGGUGGGUGUUGGAAAGAUUUAUCGGUUUUGGAGGGACUCGCGGCCUAUCAGCUUGUUGGUGAGGUAAUGGCUCACCAAGGCGACGACGGGUAGCCGGCCUGAGAGGGUGACCGGCCACACUGGGACUGAGACACGGCCCAGACUCCUACGGGAGGCAGCAGUGGGGAAUAUUGCACAAUGGGCGAAAGCCUGAUGCAGCGACGCCGCGUGAGGGAUGACGGCCUUCGGGUUGUAAACCUCUUUCAGUAGGGAAGAAGCGAAAGUGACGGUACCUGCAGAAGAAGCACCGGCUAACUACGUG